This 232-nucleotide long non-coding RNA is filed under the name Homo sapiens (human). RNAcentral describes it as "non-protein coding lnc-SERPIND1-1:60". Lineage: Eukaryota; Metazoa; Chordata; Mammalia; Primates; Hominidae. The record is from RNAcentral.
UCAGACGCCAAGGUGCCUCCCGCCUCUCCUCCCCCAGACCUGGGGCGGUGUGACGGGCAGCUUCGCAGAGUGCAGUACAGCACCGAGUCGCUCAUGGAGGAGAUGGCCAGGGCGGACCGAGUGAGACGCGGCUGUUCGGCGGUCCUCGCGCGCUGGCGCGCUGCUGACGCUGCCGCUCCUCUUCCUGGGGCUGUCGCUGCUCUGGACGGUGCUGUUGGACCCCGGCGCCGUC